Molecule: long non-coding RNA, 502 nt
Filed under: Salmo salar (Atlantic salmon)
Lineage: Eukaryota; Metazoa; Chordata; Actinopteri; Salmoniformes; Salmonidae
Description: lncRNA (ENSSSAG00000103160.1)
Source: RNAcentral
UUUUUUUGCGCCUGCACAUAAAUCUGAGAAACGUGAGUUUUGUCUUCAUUGUUUAUCUAGACAUAGGAUAGGUUGUGUGAAAAUAUUACUGAUGUUUAACGUUAAAAAUGGACCAAAAGAUUAAUGCUAAACAACAUUUGACAUGUUUGAACGAACAUAAAUAGAUUAUUUACUAGUUUUUUUUUAGCUUUUCGGCGUGAAUUACACUCCCCCCACCACGUUUUGUGGGAGCAUAAUGAACGCUAAGUACUUGGUGUUAUUUGGACAUAAAUUAUGAACUUUGUCAAAAGAAACCACAUUUGUUCCGGACCUGGGAUGCCUUCCGGACCUGGGAUGCCUGCCUUCUGAUGGAGAUAAUCAAAGAUGGUGUAAGGGCUGUCUUCAGGAAUGGACCAAAAUGCAGCGGAUAUAUACGAGAUCUGUUACAGAACUUCCCACCAACAAUGGACCAAGCAGCGGGGUAAGGAGCUGGAGAAAGGCUAUCGGGAGUCGUGGACCUGGG